UUUCCAUUUGUAUUACACUAUUUUCAUAAACCUUCCUAACGAAAUCGGAUAUGUAUAAUACAGCGUCCAGCGAAGAAAUAUCGUCGGAGGAUAUGGUAGAAUAUGGGCGAGAAACCGACGAAGAAGACAUCCCCGAGGACAAAGACGAAGCCGCCGAUAUCGAUGAAGAAGAAGAAUAAAAUGGACCGGAUGAGUCGGAGUCGGAGCAAAUUUUUCCAAAUUUUUUUUCCAAUUUUUUGUUGUAAAUGUAAAUUUUAU
This is a long non-coding RNA of Bradysia coprophila, 258 nucleotides long. The record is from RefSeq and is a predicted model, not a curated record. Lineage: Eukaryota; Metazoa; Arthropoda; Insecta; Diptera; Sciaridae.